CAGGAUGAACGCUAGCGGCAGGCCUAAUACACGCAAGACGAACGGUGAUAUUUAUAUCAUAGUGGCGCACGGGUGCGUAACACGUAUGCAACCUACCUAUUAUUGGGGGAUAGCCUUUGGAAACGGAGAUUAAUACCGCAUAAUACGAUUAACUGGCAUCGGUUGAUUGUUAAAGCAUUUGCGAUAAUAGAUGGGCAUGCGUCCAAUUAGUUAGUUGGUGUGGUAAUGGCUCACCAAGACAGUGAUUGGUAGGGGAUCUGAGAGGAUAAUCCCCCACACUGGCACUGAGAUACGGGCCAGACUCCUACGGGAGGCAGCAGUAGGGAAUAUUGGGCAAUGGGCGAAAGCCUGACCCAGCCAUGCCGCGUGCAGGAAGACGGCGUUAUGCGUUGUAAACUGCUUUUUUAUAGGAAGAAGGAUCCCUUGCGAGGGAAGGUGACGGUACUAUAAGAAUAAGCACCGGCUAACUCCGUGCCAGCAGCCGCGGUAAUACGGAGGGUGCAAGCGUUGUCCGGAUUUAUUGCGUUUAAAGGGUGCGUACGCGGUUUAUUAAGUCAGUGGUGAAAGACGGUCGCUCAACGAUUGCAGUG
Molecule: ribosomal RNA, 590 nt
Filed under: uncultured bacterium
Lineage: Bacteria
Description: bacterial SSU rRNA
Rfam family: Bacterial small subunit ribosomal RNA
Source: RNAcentral